Ochotona princeps (American pika) is the source of this 1156-nucleotide non-coding RNA. The record is from the annotation of a RefSeq genome assembly. NCBI's taxonomy places the organism in Eukaryota, Metazoa, Chordata, Mammalia, Lagomorpha, Ochotonidae.
AUGACUGACUGGCUCUCGGAGUACUCCUGGCAGACACCUCAUGAUGGUCUUGGUCUCACAUCUCUCUGUGUUCCAGAUCCUGAAGUCAGCCCCAGCGUCUUCCCGCUGAGACUCCCUCUACCUGACUGUGAAGGAAACGCGGUCGUCGGCGUCCUGAUCCGGGGCUACUUCCCUGUGGGCCCUCUGAGUGUGAGCUGGAACGCCAGCGGGAACGUCACGAACUUCCCGCCUGUCCUGGCGGAGACUGACCUUGGGACCCAGUUCACCUCAAGCAGCCUGCUGAGCCUACCAGUUGAUCAGUGCCCCAAUAAAGGAAAAGUGCUCUGCACCGUGGACCAUAACUACAACAACAGCCAGCAGAAGGCCGUGUGCUGCCCAGCGGAUCCGUGUGCAAACUGCCGGUGCGGAUGCCAAAACCCCAGAAUCUACUUAGAGAGGCCGAACAUCAAAGACCUGCUCCUCAACUCAGAAGCCAACAUCACCUGCACGCUGAGAGGCGUGAAGAACCCUGCAGGGGCCGUCUUCAACUGGUCACCUGACACGGGGAACACUCCUGUGCUGCUUAGUGCCCAGGAGGACUCCUGCGGCUGCUACAGUGUGUCCAGCGUGCUGCCCGGCUGCGCAGAACUCUGGAACCAAGGGACACAGUUCACAUGCACUGUCGAACACCCUGAGAUAGAGGGCGGCUCACUGACUGACACCAUCAGCAAAAACACAGGGAACAUCAUCCCACCCGAGGUGCACCUGCUGCCGCCGCCGUCAGAAGAACUAGCCCUGAACGCACUGGUGACGCUGACCUGCCUGGUGCGCGGCUUCAGCCCCAAGGACGUGCUCAUCUACUGGCUGCAUGCAGAAAAGCUGGUCCCCAGGGAAGACUUCCUGGUGUUUAAGCCCCUGCCAGAACCCAACCAGACUUCCAGCACCUUCGCCGUGACCAGCCUGCUGCGCGUCUCGGCCAAGGAUUGGAACAACGGGGACAACUUCUCCUGCGUGGUGGGCCACGAGGGCCUGCCCGACAACUUCACCGAGAAGACCAUCGACCGUCUGUCGGGUAAACCCACCCACGUCAACGUGUCUGUGGUCGUGGCAGACGUGGAAAGUGUCUGCUACUGAGCCACCCGCCCUGCCCUGAAUAAACUGUGUGCUGGCCCCAGCA